CGGCAACGGAUAUCUCGGCUCUCGCAUCGAUGAAGAACGCAGCGAAAUGCGAUACCUGGUGUGAAUUGCAGAAUCCCGUGAAUCAUCGAGUCUUUGAACGCAAGUUGCGCCCGAGACCAUUCGGUUGAGGGCACGCCUGCCUGGGCGUCACGCGUUGCGUCGC
Molecule: ribosomal RNA, 163 nt
Filed under: Tripodanthus acutifolius
Lineage: Eukaryota; Viridiplantae; Streptophyta; Magnoliopsida; Santalales; Loranthaceae
Also listed under: 1 other name
Description: 5.8S ribosomal RNA
Rfam family: 5.8S ribosomal RNA
About the family: 5.8S ribosomal RNA (5.8S rRNA) is a component of the large subunit of the eukaryotic ribosome. It is transcribed by RNA polymerase I as part of the 45S precursor that also contains 18S and 28S rRNA. Functionally, it is thought that 5.8S rRNA may be involved in ribosome translocation.
Source: RNAcentral